AGGGAAGGAUUCUUCAUUCAUAUUCAAGUUAAUGGUGACUUUUAUAAGAAAAUAGCCCAGUAAUUGAAGUUGUGAUAGAACCCAUAGAUGAAAAGCAAUGAACAAUUUCAGUCUAUAGGUAGUAAGCAUCAUCCAAAUAAUCUAGGUCUCUAUUUGGGGGUCUCAAGAUAAAUCUUACAAGAAGGUAAAACAAACCAGAUACAAAGAAUAUAAUAGCCUAUAUGAUAAUUAAUGAUUAGAAGUAUACUCGGACUUUCCUUGUUGUUCAAACUAAAACCAUCAUUAUCUGUUUGAAAAUUGGAUAAGGGAGAUGGUGGUGGCAGAGGAAAAUAUAAUGGUUGUUGCGAUGUAGAAUCUAUGUCAACAUCUAGCAGUUUUUGAACUCCCUCACUGAUCCUUGGGAACUUAAUUGCCUUCCCCAUUGCUGCCGCCGCUGCUGCUGCAACCUUAUUCUAAUUCCUCCACCUCCUUUGACACCAAACCCUAGCCCAAAUUUCUAAUACAAAAUUUUCAUUUAGAACGAGAGAGAGAAAGAAAGAAAAAAUAAAGAAAGUAGGAAGAUUGCAAAAUUUUCAUUCAGAACCUUAACUACCAAUUGGGAGUGAAGAAUUAGAAACGGCUUUGCCCUCUUUUGCAAUUUUUUUUUGGUAGAAUUAAGAAAUUGAGGGUAGAUCACAAUCACCUUUCUACAAAUCGGCAUUGAGAUGGUAGAUCAGCAGUGGCACAAAGAGGAGAGAGGACUGCCUUCAACAAUGGGUUGUAAAACGAGGAAUUAGAGAGUUUGAAACAAAACUGGGUAACGAGGGAUUUGAGCUCGAC
This 819-nucleotide long non-coding RNA is filed under the name Panax ginseng (ginseng). Its description in RNAcentral is "long non-coding RNA (PGIN_LNC009401)". Lineage: Eukaryota; Viridiplantae; Streptophyta; Magnoliopsida; Apiales; Araliaceae. The record is from RNAcentral.